AUGAAAUUAGAGGUGGAGAGGGAUCGGAGCCGUCGUCUCCAACUGGCCACCCUCUUGGCGGUGAUGACGAUCGGCGGCUUUUGACGCGGUAAACAGUAGAGAGAGCAGCGGUGGACAGAGAGAGAGGAGCGGCGGUGAUGGAAAAACCGGCCAUGUCUCCGACCGGACACCCAUGGUGGUGGUUGACGGUCACCGUGACGGCUAUGGCUUCUAGGAUUCGCUCGACAUUCUGGUGGAUUCCCAAGCCUAAAAGACCAGUAUGAGUCACAGAACCCGGAAUAUGGCCAGCCAGAGGCGUGGAGGGAGGAGAUGGAGGAGUUGCCGGUGGGAGAUUGGGAAUUACGGAAAUGCCUAUGGUGACCGUCCGUCGCGUUCUUUAUAAGGUUGGGCGAGCGGUUAUGUGUGGCUUAACAACAAAGGGUGAGUAUGGAGUAAAAACAGUGAUCGAGAUGUUGAAGGAUGAACUAGAGUUCACAAUGGCUCUUUCCGGCUGCCCUACUCUCAACGGUGUUACCGCGAACCAUAUCAGAACUUAGAAAUUAAAAAAUACUUGCUUUGUUCAAAAGUAUUGCACUUCAAUAUUUUCUAGCUGGAGUUUCAUCUACAGAUUCAUUAUAUUUGAUAAUAAAUGAAGAAAGUCAAAUUGAGUUGAGGGAUAAGGCUGCAGAGGUGCUGAAAUGAAGGAGCCAAUAACUGUGGAAGAAAAGCAACACAACGGCCUAUGGUCAAUGACAGCAAUGGAAAGAUUUUCAUUUUUAACAUACAUGUGCGAUUUAUUAACGAAUAAUCUAAGAUACACUUGCGAGUGAAACCAACUAUUGUAGCUGCUUAACAUAUGCCGGAUACAACAGGUUCAUAUGGCGCGCCCAACCAACUAUUGUAACUGCUUAACAGAUGCCGGAUGCAGCAGAAGUAUACGAUACCAAAGUGUAAUUGUUCCUUUGACAAUAUUGUAUAUGUAUGUCUUAUGGAUCAAGUUUUUGGUUUUUUAAGUAGAACGAAGUGAUCUUUGUAUCCAUAUACAUUAUUUCGCUUUAAUGUGACAAAGUUGGUUUGAUUUGUACAAAUGAUUUUUUUUAA
This 1080-nucleotide long non-coding RNA is filed under the name Helianthus annuus (common sunflower). Lineage: Eukaryota; Viridiplantae; Streptophyta; Magnoliopsida; Asterales; Asteraceae. The record is from RNAcentral.